RNAcentral lists this long non-coding RNA (2449 nucleotides) under Sus scrofa (pig). RNAcentral describes it as "lncRNA (ENSSSCG00000058769.1)". The record is from RNAcentral. Lineage: Eukaryota; Metazoa; Chordata; Mammalia; Artiodactyla; Suidae.
UUUUUGUCUUUUUGCUACUUCUUGGGCCGCUCCCGCGGCAUAUGGAGGUUCCCAGGCUAGGGGUCGUAGCUGUAGCUGCCAGCCUACGCCAGAGCCACAGCAACGCUGGAUCCAAGCUGUGCCUGCAACCUACACCACAGCUCACGGCAACGCCGGAUCGUUAACCCACUGAGCAAGGGCGGGGACCGAACCCGCAACCUCUUGGUUCCUAGUUGGAUUCGCUAACCACUGCGCCACGACGGGAACUCCCUUUUUUUUGUGGGGCGGGGGGCAGGAGCUUUGACCUUUGGUAGAAGAACACAGCCACUAGCAGCCUGGCUCGGAGGAAGGUGCCAAAGUGAGCAGUCAGAUUUCACUCUCUUCCACCCUCUGAACUCCUCUGCUGAGAGCGAUUCUCAGCCAGAAGCCAGAGGGGAAGGGGUCUGCUUAGGCAAUUCUUGAAGUUCAGCUUUGCAAGCUCAGCAGAGAAUGGAAAGGUAGAGGGUUGCUCCAAGGGGAGAAUAUUCAGCACAGAUGGACUGUCCCUUCCCAUCCCCUUGAAAUUGGCUAUGGCUGACUUUUCUGGUGCAUUCAUGUCUAGGUCUCCCCUGACAAAUUACCAUAGAUGAGGAGACUUAAAACAAGAGAAAUUUAUUCUAGAAGUCUGAAGUCAUGGUGUCAGCACAGCCAUGCUCUCUCUGAUGGCUCUGAAGAAGCAUCUGUUCUUAUCUCCUCUAAGCUUUUGGUAGAUCCUAACAAUCCUUGGAGUUUCUUGGUGUGAGCUGAAGCACUCUACUCUCUGCCUCUGUCUCCAGAGAGCCUUCUGCUCCCUCUGUUGUUCUUUCUUCGUAUAAGGACACCAGUCAUUAGACUUAGGGCCCAUCCUGUAUUUGGUAUGGUAUCAUCUCCAGAUCCUUUAACUAAAUGCAUCUGCCAAGACCCCAUUUCCAAAUAAAUUCACAUUCUUAGAUUUCAGGAGUGGACAUGAAUUUGGAAGAGAUACUAGUCAACCCACUAGAGACAGUAAAGUGUGCUAAUUCUGGGCAAAAGUGUAAGACCUAGCAUGGGAUUUGCCACUCUAUCUGUCCCUUCCCCGUUACAAUCAGCUGUGCUCCAGACAGUGGCUGCUCCCUCUGCCUGGGUCCUGGAGUGAAGAUGGAGCCCAGCAGAGCCCCAGCUGAUCUACAAAGGGAAUGUAACAAGAAUAGAAAUAAAUGUGUCAUUUCUCCUGAAGGGAUAGCAUCUGAAGUAUUUAAUGACCACAGUCCAGCCCUUCAGAGAUAUUUCCGGCAACUUAUGCAGCUCUCCAUUUCUUGCCUCACAUACAAAACACCCUUGAAGACUGGUGUUAACCAAAACCACUUUGCCGGCUCACUGUCCCUCUUAGUCCCAACUCCACUGGCAACAUUUUACUGCCUGUUGUUUCUCUUUGGGUCCAAGGUGUAGAAAUAAAUAGAUUUUAAAGGCAGCCUUUUGUUUCCUUAGAGGGACAAGUUUUCCAGAAGAAAAAGAAUGAAUGCUAGAGCACAUGGGUAUCCUUUGAAAUGAGCUGCAGAGGAGCUGUGUUCAUUUCAGGCUCACAGUCUUGUCACCAGUUUCAGAAGAAUUCUGCACCUGCAGCAGCCAGGAAUAUCUGCUGAGGAACCUUUGUCCUCUACCUAAACCAGGACUCUUCAGCCUGGACUGGAAGGCUCCCAUGUACCAACUGCUCCUGCUGCUGCUGCAGCUGCAACUUCUACUCUCUCUCUCCCCAACCACAGGCCCCAUGAACCCCAAUAGUAGGAGGAAAAGGAAAAGUAAUCAAAAUGCUGUGCUUAAAGGGAUGGUUCUCCAAGUGUGGUACCUGGAUCAGCAGCAUCCUCAGCCCCUGGAAACUUGCUGAAAUGCACUCUUGGACCUUUCUCCAGAACCUCUGGAGUGGUGCCUAGCAAUCUGUGUUUCAGGGAGUCUUCCAGGAGAUUCUGGUGCACAGGAAAGUUUUGGGAGCCACCGGCUUAGGGUUUGAUCUCAGAAGUCAGGUGACCUGCCUAGGAGUUCAUCCAUCUUGGUAAAAAUAUCAUCAACUCUUCUGUCCCCUUUUAAUUGGUGGGGAAAGACCUGCCUGUAGUGCAGUGGAGAAUCCUUGGGAUCCUGGUUAUCUCCUGGCCCUCUGGGCAUUUUGUAUUAACUGUAAGUCACAAGUACUAGCCUGUCUGUGGCAGCAUCCAGGAAACAGAAUCAUGGCAGCUACACGAGAAGCCUCCCACAUGCAGGGUUUCUCUGACGUCUCAUGGUGAAGGACAACAUAUCUAACCUUGUUCUGAGCGAAACGGACAUGUACUUCCAAGUGGCUUGAGAAUCUCUUUAGUUCUAUAUUUAGUCAGUUUACAAGGAGUUUGAGAUGGAUUUUACUGUUUACCAAGGCCUUUCUUGUGUGUCCAUCAUAGUACUUAGGACUGGAAAUCUGUGCUAAUCUCUUGUGAGUUUCCAC